GUCAGUUUGCCCGCAAAACCUGUCAGCGUUUCUAUUCCUUCGCAUUUUUACUGUGACCUAUGGCGGCUACUGCCUGCCACAUGCCUGCUAGUAUAUCUGGUU
Long non-coding RNA from Aricia agestis (brown argus), 102 nucleotides. RefSeq lists it as uncharacterized. NCBI's taxonomy places the organism in Eukaryota, Metazoa, Arthropoda, Insecta, Lepidoptera, Lycaenidae. The record is from RefSeq and is a predicted model, not a curated record. The transcript is spliced from 3 exons.